CGGGGCGUGGCGCAGUCCGGUUAGCGCACCUGCUUUGGGAGCAGGAGGUCGCCGGUUCAAAUCCGGCCGCCCCGACCA
Molecule: transfer RNA, 78 nt
Filed under: Bacteroidetes bacterium QH_6_63_17
Lineage: Bacteria; Pseudomonadati; Bacteroidota
Also listed under: 2 other names
Description: tRNA-Pro
Rfam family: tRNA
About the family: Transfer RNA (tRNA) molecules are approximately 80 nucleotides in length. Their secondary structure includes four short double-helical elements and three loops (D, anti-codon, and T loops). Further hydrogen bonds mediate the characteristic L-shaped molecular structure. tRNAs have two regions of fundamental functional importance: the anti-codon, which is responsible for specific mRNA codon recognition, and the 3' end, to which the tRNAs corresponding amino acid is attached (by aminoacyl-tRNA synthetases). tRNAs cope with the degeneracy of the genetic code in two manners: having more than one tRNA (with a specific anti-codon) for a particular amino acid; and 'wobble' base-pairing, i.e. permitting non-standard base-pairing at the 3rd anti-codon position.
Source: RNAcentral